UUUCGCUCGGGAAAGACCUGUUUCUAACCGUGUCCCCAUCGGGGGACGACCUUUCAUUACCUUGACCUCAAAUCGGGUGAGACUACCCGCUGAACUUAAGCAUAUCAAUAAGCGGAGGAAAAGAACUAACAAGGAUUCCCCUAGUAACUGCGAGUGAAGCGGGAAAAGCUCAAAUUUAAAAUCUGGUGGUCUUUUAGGCCAUCCGAGUUGUAAUUUAGAGAAGCGUCUUCCGCGCUGGACCAUACACAAGUCUCCUGGAACGGAGCGUCAUAGAGGGUGAGAAUCCCGUCUUUGGUAUGGACCCACCAGGGCUUCUGUGAUGCGCUCUCGAAGAGUCGAGUUGUUUGGGAAUGCAGCUCAAAAUGGGUGGUGAACUCCAUCUAAAGCUAAAUAUUGGCGAGAGACCGAUAGCGAACAAGUACCGUGAGGGAAAGAUGAAAAGCACUUUGGAAAGAGAGUGAAACAGUACGUGAAAUUGUUGAAAGGGAAACGCUUAAAGUCAGUCGCGUCUGCCGAGACUCAGCCUCGCUUCGGCUUGGUGUAUUUCUCGGUCGACGGGUCAGCAUCAAUUUUGUCCCUCAGAUAAUGGCAUGGGAAAGGUGGCACCUUUGCGGGUGUGUUAUAGUCCUUUGUCGCAUGUGAGGGCUGAGAUUGAGGAACUCAGCACGCACGUCCUUCUGGGGUGUGUCGGGGCUUCGGCCCACGCCACGUGCUUAGGAUGCUGGCGAAUG
RNAcentral lists this ribosomal RNA (731 nucleotides) under uncultured Russula. Its description in RNAcentral is "eukaryotic LSU rRNA". It matches the Rfam family "Eukaryotic large subunit ribosomal RNA", at positions 1 to 636 of the family's 3401-position model. Lineage: Eukaryota; Fungi; Basidiomycota; Agaricomycetes; Russulales; Russulaceae. The record is from RNAcentral.